AGCAACACACAAGUCUCUCUUUCUCUUUCUUCUUCUCUGGGUAGGAGCAGCUCAGCUAAACCCAAAUUAACAAUGUAAAUCGAAGCCCUAAACCCUAAUUAACCUUACAUCAAACAAUGAAUUGAAGAUGAAUCGGUAGAUGAGAUCAAAUGAGUUAUUAGUUGAUGAUGAAGAAACAUAGUAAAGAAGAUAUGGAAGAAGAAGAAGAAGAAGGUGGUGUUGGAAGAAGUUUUUUGAGUUAUAAAUCAAAGAUGUUGCUUCUAAAGAUCCAGAAGACCAAAAAGAAGAAACAAACAGAUGGUUUAUUGUGUGCUAUCUUCGGUGGGGGCGGAAUCGGAAUAUCUAACAUUCUCUAAACUGUCUGAGCAUCUAUAGUGGGUUUCCGGGUAUCUAUAAUGACGAAGAUACAACCAUUGGUCUCAUAACCUGCAUAACAGGACCCGAAAUUUGUCGUCAAUUUACGGAGGCAGAUCUGGUCGAUAUUGGGUCCAAUGUUCGACUGUUUUGAAUGUUUCAGAAAAAACAAAAUGGUUUAUUGGGUACUCAUCUUCAAAGGUGUGAGCGGAAUCGGACAAUGAUACAUGCUCUUAGACUGAACGGUGCAAGGAUUCUAGAACACCCCUUUUUCUGGGAUGUUACAAAAUCUCUGAAUGGGAGAAUAUCUUGAUAAUGUUGAUCAUCUGGAUUUGUUGUGGUACUUUCCGCAUUAUCAAGAGUAAAAGCCACCAAAAAACCAAGCACACAAUUGGUAGUAAAAGAUUCCCUGAACGCAAAGCUGAAAUGGCUCAAAGAAUGGAGGGAACCCACCAACUGAAAGUGAUGUAUACAUUGAAACCCCUGCAAAUAAAGUAGAAAAGCUUUGCACCCAAUUCUUGAAGGCUACAUACGUAAUAGAUUACCCGCAGAAUCUAUUACGGGCAGAAUCUCCAGCAUUCUGUCAUAGAUUACCCGCAGAAUCUCCAGCAUGUGAAUGGGCAGUUGUUCAGGGUCCUAAUGAAGCAUGUUGGAUUGUAGAAGUGAAUAAAACUCAAAAUGGCACCUAACUUGAGGAAGGCUGGGAAAUAUUUGUGAGAGACACUGGCUUACUAAAGUACAAUUUCUUAGUUUUCAGGCUUGAUGGUGGGAUGUGGGGAAGAUAAAUUGGAUGUCUAGCUACAAAAUGAAGAAUGUCUCAGUUGGGAGGUUCUUGUCAGACCAUUAAGUGUAUCAAUACAUGUUCUGUGCAGGCUGGAAAGACUUUGCCAUCGGCUACAGGUGAUUGUAUGAUACUUGAACUCGUUAAUACCAGUUCCUGUUCUUUCUCCAGCUCCGCGCAAGAAAAUAAUGGACCACAAGAAGAGUAUCUCGCUAGUUUACCUUCUUCGACUCUUGCACAAGAAAGAAAGAGAUGUGGAAGGCCAUGUGAAAAUUCAACGGUAAAAAAGGGAGGCUCACAGAAGCAGGAUUGUGCUUGAAGUUGUUCAAAAUGCAGUAUUUUAAGGAUACAUGUGAUUAGUGAAGAGUGCAGUCUUGAUUCUGUGCACAGUUUUUUUUGUCUGGUGUGCCUGCUACUAAGGAAAACAGUUCAAUACCUUGCCUAUGACAGGAUUUCUUAGAUGAACAUUUUUGCUUAUCUGUAUAGGAUUUCUGCGAUACACAUUUUUGCUUAUCCGUGUUUCUACAUGACAUCGUUAGAAGGUUAUUGAAAUAAAGUUACUGAUUUUUGUAGUACUUACAGUUAUUGGUUGGGUUGUAAUUAGAAACCUUUGAAAUACUGAAUUAUCCGUGGAUCUGUAAAUUUAACUUUAUUCUUUUGUAAAUGAAAUAAUGGAUA
Molecule: long non-coding RNA, 1813 nt
Organism: Papaver somniferum (opium poppy)
Lineage: Eukaryota; Viridiplantae; Streptophyta; Magnoliopsida; Ranunculales; Papaveraceae
Exons: 7
Source: RefSeq, a predicted model, not a curated record